GUGGGCGUGCCGGAGUGGUCAAACGGGAUAGGCUUAGGACCUAUUAGCUUAGUGCUUACGCAGGUUCGAACCCUGCCGCUCACACCA
This 87-nucleotide transfer RNA is filed under the name Candidatus Woesearchaeota archaeon. RNAcentral describes it as "tRNA-Leu". It matches the Rfam family "tRNA". Rfam says of the family: Transfer RNA (tRNA) molecules are approximately 80 nucleotides in length. Their secondary structure includes four short double-helical elements and three loops (D, anti-codon, and T loops). The record is from RNAcentral. Lineage: Archaea; Nanobdellati; Candidatus Woesearchaeota.